This is a long non-coding RNA of Oreochromis aureus, 936 nucleotides long. RefSeq lists it as uncharacterized. The transcript is spliced from 3 exons. The record is from RefSeq and is a predicted model, not a curated record. NCBI's taxonomy places the organism in Eukaryota, Metazoa, Chordata, Actinopteri, Cichliformes, Cichlidae.
CCAAAACGCUGUAAAUCUAACCUGUGAUGGUUUGGAGUUGUAACAGCUGGUGGAGCUUUGAUUAGCUGCCAGUGCUGCGUUACAGUGUUGAGUGGGUGAGUCUCAGUGUAAAUGAGCUGCAGCGGCUCUGUCUAAUUUCAGCGCCGCUGCUUUUCAUAACCUUGGCAAACUUGGCGAGCGAUGACUCCGCCGCGUAGAAAUCAGCCCACACCGACGGGAACCCGCGUUUCGGCCACGCUUCACCUGUUACCAGGUUGUCAUGGCAACCGUACCCAUCAAAGUUUUGGGAGAAGUGGAGCAAAAACGCCGAGUGCGAACACUUCUUCUUCCUCCUCUGAGCCAGAAACUCUUGAAUAGGCCGCACAGGUUUUUCCUGAGGACUCUCUGAGAUUGACUUGUCAAAUGUGUUCUUUAGGCGCCGUAACAUGCGUUCACAGCUACAAGGCCACAGACGAAGAGCAACCGACUGACGAAGGCGGUGAAGAAAGGAAACUUUCUGCACCUUCAGCAAACACCAGCGCCAGAAAUAACAGUUCUGUCUUCAAUAAAUUACGAGUGUACACUAAAAGUGUGCAACAGAAAGCUCGUAUAGAGACAGAACAGGAGGAAGAGAGAAGCAUUUAAGCCACAGAUGAUAAAACCGCAUUUACUGCUCUGUUUUCACAGCAUCGAUUUGGCCUCGUCGCAGAAGCAGCAGGUGUUUAAUCUGUCUGGAUCCAUAUCUGAGAAAUUAUAAAGUGUCGCAUUAUGACUGCAGAGUGCUUAUGUCCACACCGGCGGCUUUUCCGCACUGUUUAAAUACAUUUACUUGGAGGUCGGUGCGAAGGUGAGCAUCCGAAAUGUCACUGACGAUCCCUCAGUGCACAAGAAAAUCUGUAAAACAACUUCAGUAAAUUAAAGUAAAUGUCAGAGCUGACGUUUACUUUUUCACUUUGA